Lactuca sativa (garden lettuce) is the source of this 2382-nucleotide long non-coding RNA. RefSeq lists it as uncharacterized. The record is from RefSeq and is a predicted model, not a curated record. Lineage: Eukaryota; Viridiplantae; Streptophyta; Magnoliopsida; Asterales; Asteraceae.
CUAAACGUAGAAAACCCUAAUUUCAUCUACAUACCAUCGGUCAUCGUUUCUCCUAAAUCUCUUAUGUCUCUCAAAUUGCUCACUUCAAUUUCUUAUGUCUCUCUAAUUUCUUUCUACCGUCUCUCUCUAUAUAACAUCUCUUAGUAAGACCUAAAUGCUUCGUUCCUUUCUUCUUCACCCAUUCUUUUCGAUUUAUUGUUUGAUUUUUAAUCCCUAAUAUCUCUUUUCACAUAAUCAUUUGUUUACUUAAUUUUUGUUGUUACAAGGUCUCGAUUUUAUGUUUUGUUUAAAAAAUCACAAUUUCAAGAUUUAUCAGCUAAAUAGAAAGCGAUUUUAUGUGUUCGUUAAUAGCCAUCUUCAUAUUCUGAUCUUGACAUACUUUUUCUAUCUUUACACGAAACCGUUUGUAAAAAUUAGGUAGCCAGCAUCGAGGUAUGUAUUUAAACCAUCUUUAAUUGAAAUACGGAUUGGAAUCAGAGAACGAUCUCCUUGAAGCUUUGCAAUCGCCUGGGAUUUCAAGCUCGAACUUGAUUUUUGAUCAACGCCAUGGCUGGCAAACUCAAGCUUUUUUUACAGGUUUCCUGCCUCUUUAUUUUUUAUUUUUUUGUGGUUUUUUUAUGUUGUUUUAUUUCAUGGAUAAUGGCGUUUGGCUAAAAGGUUUUAGUUUCUUACACUCAAGAUACACAUAUUCUAGGUUACAUUGAUGGUCGGAAAUCAUGAAUUUUAAACUCCAUUAUUCUUUGUGAACACCAUUUGUUUGUAAAAAUUCCUCAAAGAAAAAAAAUACCCUACUUCCUAAUUGAGUCAAGGGUAAUAUGAUCAAUUUAUUUAAUGUUUAAGGGGUAAUGACAUAUUUCAUUUGUUACCCAGGUGAGAUUUCUGUUGAGAUCUAGAAGGGAAGGCAAAUUUGCACCUAACUUCAUAAUGUUGUAUCAACUAAGUACUUGAAAUGUUCCACCAUAACUUCUAAUUAAAUCUUUUAUUGAUUAAACUUGUGUAUAAGAUAUGUAACUCAAGGUGGGUUCAUGCAAUGGAAUUGAGAUGUAAGAAUUAGUUUGGUGCAUCUGUUAAAGUUCAUUUUGAAGUUGAUCGGUCUAAAGCUGGUUUACUUACAAUAUAUGGGCCAUUCACUUUCCUCAAGGUUCAUGGUGAGGGUCAUAUGGUUCCAAUGGAUCAACCAAAGGCAACUUUAAGCAUGUUAACGAGGACUUCGAUCCUCGUCUGAUCGAGAAGGAGAAGAUGAACGAAGGCAACAAGGCUGCUUAGGCAGGUCUACGCUUCUUCUUCCUUAGAAGGGAUAUGCGAAAUCUGUUCCUCUUCUACUUCAGCCCUGAGGUGCGAAUCAGAGGAGAUUAGCGACUUCAGGUUAGUGUUUUGUUUAUUGAGUUCGGCUGGAAGAAAAGAAAACGAAAAAGAACUCGAUCAACAUAAGGGAAAAACGAACGAGAUGCAAUAAUAAGGGUGGGUCGAUGAUGGAUACCCACUGCGAACAGGGAGUAGGAAAGGAACUGACGGCAGUAGCAGCUCACAUGGGGCAUUUUCGUUGCUCGAUCGAAUGGGAGAAAGGAAGGUUAUCCUGGGUUCUUGAUUGAUUGAAGAGGGAAGACAUUGGAGCCAAAGUAGAAAGAACGAAGGCAGCAGGACAAUCAUCAACCAUGGCAGUCAUUUGGGUGGCUCCUCUUCAUUUUUUUUUUUGUGAUUCUUGACAGAAUCGAUAUACCUAAGUGGUUGUUUGGGCUUUGGUGUUUGACAGAGGUAAAUGGAAAAGCCUAUCUUUUGUGAACCAUCUUGAGUUUCAUCUCUUAGUUGUUACACAGAAAGUACAGUAGGAAUUUCUUGGUUAAUAUGUUGGGAAAAUGGAAGGAAUUUGGUGGUCUUGCUUAUUAAGUUACUGCACUUUCUCAAGAAUGCAGGCAAUAUUGUUUUAGAAUAAAGAGGGAUUUAGUUUGAAGAAAGCUACUAUUCUUUCAGAAUGAAGAAGGGAAAUAUUCUUCACAUGUAAUCCUACAAAUUGAUCAGACCUAGACAACCAAAAAAGGCAGGGAAACUUUAAUUUUAUUCUUUUACAAUGAUUGUUCUUUAGAAUGAACUCGAAUUUUAUUCUUUAUUUUUUUUCAUAUCAGAAUGUAAAAACAAGUAUAUCACUACAAAUUACUUGGCAAUGAAUUUCUGAUAAAAAUGGCUUGAAGAAUGGCUUGAAGACCUGAUGGGAAAGGCUUUAAGAAUGAAUUAAAGAAUGAUCACACUCAUUGUUUAAGAAUGUUGUUAUUUUUUAAGAAUUAUACUUGUUAUUUUUUCAGAAUGUUUGUUAUUAUUCAAUGAAUCACAAUCAUACAAUGUAAUUAUUUGGUAUAUUAUUAGUUCAAGAAUCGAUUUUGUGUA